Molecule: long non-coding RNA, 230 nt
Filed under: Trifolium pratense (red clover)
Lineage: Eukaryota; Viridiplantae; Streptophyta; Magnoliopsida; Fabales; Fabaceae
Description: long non-coding RNA (TPRA_LNC000432)
Source: RNAcentral
GGAUAGAAAAAUUGUUUAGAUGAGAGUGAUGAGCAGUGUUGUUUGGAACUGUUGUAGCUUGUAGAAGUGGUAGUAGAUCUCAAUCUCCAGCAGCUACAGUGUAUUUAGCGUUGUGAAAGUAAAAGGAAAAGUGCGAGAUUUUCGAUUGCAAUUAAAAAAUAAAAAAUUAAUUAACAAUUAUAAAAGAAAAUUUAGUGUGUUUUAAUGGCGUCGUGCAGAUGUCGUGCAAG